This 253-nucleotide ribosomal RNA is filed under the name uncultured bacterium. RNAcentral describes it as "partial 16S ribosomal RNA". It matches the Rfam family "Bacterial small subunit ribosomal RNA", at positions 524 to 776 of the family's 1533-position model. The record is from RNAcentral.
UACGGGGGGAGCAAGCGUUGUUCGGAUUUACUGGGCGUAAAGGGCGCGUAGGCGGCGCAACAAGUCACUUGUGAAAUCUCCGGGCUUAACUCGGAGCGGCCAAGUGAUACUGUCGUGCUAGAGUGCGGAAGGGGCUACUGGAAUUCUCGGUGUAGCGGUGAAAUGCGUAGAUAUCGAGAGGAACACCUGCGGCGAAGGCGGGUAGCUGGGCCGACACUGACGCUGAGGCACGAAAGCGUGGGGAUCAAACAGG